Camellia sinensis is the source of this 1687-nucleotide non-coding RNA. The record is from RefSeq and is a predicted model, not a curated record. NCBI's taxonomy places the organism in Eukaryota, Viridiplantae, Streptophyta, Magnoliopsida, Ericales, Theaceae.
UACGCCACCAUUCAAAACCACCACCACCAAAAAUGUCUCACAGCGUGGUGGCGCCGCCCUGUUUCCCCACCGUGAGGUCGGUGGCGAACUGACCAAGGCAGAGAGCAAACACGAAGAAGGUGGCUAACACGAAACGUAACAGGAGCAGCGUUGGAGCAGUAGUGGGGUUCGGUGGAGAGAUGAAGGAAGUUCGGUAGCAGUGCGUGGAGCCAUCUGCACUCCACCAUAGCUAAUCCUCUCGAUUUCAGACCUCUUGCAUCAGGUGCUUAACUUUGACAGAUUCUCCUGGACCACAGGUUCAUCAAAGCCUAAAUACGUAUUAUGGAUUGUUUAAAUGGUUGAGCUUCUGUGCCUAGAAAUUCUUUGCAGGAAGUUGCUGAACCAAUGCACAUAGGUGGAAAAUGGAGGCCAUUGAGAAAUGUGAUGUGAUGGUGUACACGAAGAUCUUCUUAAAGUUUCCAUAUAAGUUCUGGCCUUGUGGACACGAGCAGAGAGGUUACUACACGUUCUGGCAGGUAUCGACAUUUGAUGUUGAAUGUGGUGUCACUUUUGCCCCAUUGUAAGAAGGAUAACAAGUUUGAAUCUAAAGCAAGUAAAGGCGCAACACUGAAUGAGCUUGUUGAACUCACAGGCUGUUCUUCUUGCCUGUUUUUUGAGCGCAGAAAACAUAAAGACCUUUAUCUAUGGAUGGUAAAGUGUCCCAAUGGUCCAUCAGUGAAGUUCUUAGUAAAUGCUGUUCACACCAUGGAAGAAUUGAAGCUUACUGGAAAUCAUUUGAAAGGCUCACGCCCUCUAGACUUUCUUGACUAAUUUUGAUAGAGACCCCCACUAGAAACUUUUGAAAGAGAUAAUCAUGCAAUUCUUAUACUUGCACUUAGGACAGUGGGAAACAUUGUUACUAGUGAUGAUGCCCAAACUCAGAAGUAACAUAGAUGUUUAUUUACUCCAGUGGUGAGAGAAAAAGCUGAAACCCUUUAAAAAGAAAAUCUGAUAGCAAAAGCAAGGAAAAAAGGAUGGAAGUGUACCUCUUCGUAUUGCCUUUCUCCUUUCUACAGUCGUUCUGCAUAGUUUUCCGCAAUAGUGACUACUCAAUUUCAUGCUAACAGUAACAAAUUAAGGAGCACCAUCUCAAAGUCCAAAUUGAAGACAACGAGGCUGAAUUCACCCCAGAGGAACUUGAUUCUCGGAAACGGUCACUAAAUCUACAAGACUGAGGUGGAAUCUGAUGAUCAUGCGUUAUUGCACUGUCCGUUUGUUUGGUUACUUUAGUCACAUGUUAUUAGAUGAUGGGGUUUAGUUUGGGCAUUACCAGGUUUUGUUAAUGACUUACCCCAAUGGUGGGCCGGUGUAAAUGUCAAAACUGGAGAGGAAAAUCUGGAAUUCCAUUCUAUUUGCUGUUUUAUGGUGGAGGAAUCAAAGUUUGUGUUUGAAGCUAGGAUAAUCUAGAGAAUGGAGCUUCUGGUGCUAUCUACUCUUCAAAGGAAGAUGAAUUCUCUGACCCCACUUUCAUUUAUUGAUCACAUUGUGAGGAGAUUUGGAUUUACGCCAGAUUUGUAUUUGGAGUAAGGUUUUGAAAAGCGGUUGCGGUUGCUCUAACGGUGGCGGUGCCGCGGUUGCGGUUGCGGGGUGUAAAGGCCGUAGCGUAACGGUUGCGGUAACCGGAACCGUGAAUUUUUUUUAUUUUUCG